GAUGAACGCUGGCGGCGUGCCUAAUACAUGCAAGUCGAGCGAACAGACGAGGAGCUUGCUCCUCUGACGUUAGCGGCGGACGGGUGAGUAACACGCGGAUAACCUCCCUGUAAGACUGGGAUAACUUCGGUAAAUCGGAGCUAAUACCGGAUAAUGUAUUGAACCGCAUGGUUUCAUAGUGAAAGACGGUUUUGCUGUCACUUAUAGAUGGAUCCGCGCCGCAUUAGCUAGUUGGUAAGGUAACGGCUUACCAAGGCGACGAUGCGUAGCCGGCCUGAGAGGGUGAUCGGCCACACUGGAACUGAGACACGGUCCAGACUCCUACGGGAGGCAGCAGUAGGGAAUCUUCCACAAUGGGCGAAAGCCUGACGGAGCAACGCCGCGUGAGUGAUGAAGGUCUUCGGAUCGUAAAACUCUGUUAUUAGGGAAGAACAAAUGUGUAAGUAACUAUGCACGUCUUGACGGUACCGAAUCAGAAAGCCACGGCUAACUACGUG
This 497-nucleotide ribosomal RNA is filed under the name uncultured bacterium. RNAcentral describes it as "partial 16S ribosomal RNA". It matches the Rfam family "Bacterial small subunit ribosomal RNA", at positions 28 to 507 of the family's 1533-position model. The record is from RNAcentral.